AGCUUGGAGCCCAGUGUUUAAGCCGUAGGAUUUGGCAAACCCUACAACCAAGCUGGUUCCCUGGCUCAUGUCUGGGCUACAUAUAUACCAAGAUUUCUGGAGAUGACUGCACACUCAUCAGAUAAAUUCAGGAUGUGGUUGUAAACUCCAUGGCUAUUUCAACUGUGAGAUAACUGGAGGAACACCAAAAUACUCAAACUGUUCCUGAAAUUGGCUGCACAGCUGAUUUAAAGAAGAGAUAUACGGAGGUGAACUCAGUCUUACGUUUGCAGCGCAAGCGUAACAUUUAAAGAAUCCACCACGUUCUUCUGUUCAGACAAGAUACCUGGUCAGUUAUUCUCUAUCAGGAAAAGCGGUCAUGAUGUCCUUCUCAAUAUCCAUUCUCUUUAUGAAGUUAUUUCUCAAAGAUAUGACAUUCACACAAUUGCUGGACAACUAGACCAGUGACAUGGCGAUUUUCACCAAAAUAUGUGGUUAUAUGUUUGUCAGAUAAAACAUCCUUUAGUUGUGUUGGCAACAAAGAAGUCAUCUGCAAAAGCAUGGACACUCUGUUGAAGAAAGUGUAAGGGAC
RNAcentral lists this long non-coding RNA (571 nucleotides) under Heterocephalus glaber (naked mole-rat). RNAcentral describes it as "lncRNA (ENSHGLG00100050793.1)". The record is from RNAcentral. Lineage: Eukaryota; Metazoa; Chordata; Mammalia; Rodentia; Bathyergidae.